UAUAAAUUUAAUUUUAAUUUAAGAUUUAAUUAUAAUUUUUCUUUAAAUAGUAUAUAAUUUUUAUACUUAAUGUUAUAUAUAAAUUUUUGUAGAUUUUAAUUUAAAUAAUUAAAUUUAUUUUAAUUUAUAAGAUUAAAUAUUAUAUAAAUAUAUAUUUAGAAUAUAAUUUUAGUAAAAAUAAAUAUUUGUGCCAGCAAUUGCGGUUAUACAAAUUUUAUAAAUUAAAUUAUUAAAUAAAAAAUAAUUAAUUAUUUAUUUAAAUAAAAUUAUAAAUUUUAGAUGAAAUUAUAAUUUAUAAAUAAAUUUAUUACUUUUUAAUUAAUUAAUUUAAAAAAAUUUUUAUUAAACUAGGAUUAGAUACCCUAUUAUAUUAUUUUUUUUUUAGUAAAGAUUUAGAUAUUAAAUGAUUUAUAACAUUAAAUUUAAAAAAUUUGACGGUAUUUUAUUUUAUUUAGAGGAACUUAUUUUAUAAUUGAUAAUACACGAAAAGAAAUACUUUUUUAUUAAAUUUAUAUAUUUUCGUAUAAAAAAAAAUUUAAAUUUUUUUUUUUUUUUAUUAAAAAAAAAAUUCAGAUCAAAAUAUAAUUUUUAAAAAAGAAAAAAUGAGUUACAAUAAAAUUAAAAUUUAUGAAUAUAAUAAUUUAAUUUAUUAUUGAAAAUGAAUUUAAAAGUAAAUUUAUUUAAUUAAUUAAUUUGAUAAAAUUUUAAAAUAUGUACAAAUUGCCCGUCAUUUUCAAUAAAAUGAAACAAGUCGUAACAAAGUAAAUUUACUGGAAAGUAAAUUUAGAAUUAAU
Molecule: non-coding RNA, 794 nt
Filed under: Euceros serricornis
Lineage: Eukaryota; Metazoa; Arthropoda; Insecta; Hymenoptera; Ichneumonidae
Source: RNAcentral